This 245-nucleotide ribosomal RNA is filed under the name uncultured bacterium. Its description in RNAcentral is "partial 16S ribosomal RNA". It matches the Rfam family "Bacterial small subunit ribosomal RNA", at positions 89 to 334 of the family's 1533-position model. The record is from RNAcentral.
UUUCUAGUGGCGGACGGGUGAGUAACGCGUGGGUAACCUGCCUCAUACAGGGGGAUAACAGUUAGAAAUGACUGCUAAUACCGCAUAAGACCACGGUACCGCAUGGUACAGUGGUAAAAACUCCGGUGGUAUGAGAUGGACCCGCGUCUGAUUAGGUAGUUGGUGGGGUAACGGCCUACCAAGCCGACGAUCAGUAGCCGACCUGAGAGGGUGACCGGCCACAUUGGGACUGAGACACGGCCCAG